GUCUAUGGCCACACCACCCUGAACGCACCCGAUCUCAUCUGGUCUCGGAAGCUAAGCAGGGUAGGACUUGGUUAGUACUUGGAUAGGAGACCACUUGGGAAUACUGAGUGCUGUAGUCU
Molecule: ribosomal RNA, 119 nt
Organism: Rhinopithecus bieti (black snub-nosed monkey)
Lineage: Eukaryota; Metazoa; Chordata; Mammalia; Primates; Cercopithecidae
Source: Ensembl